AAUUUUAUAAUAAUUAUUUAUAUUAAUUUUUACUCAAUAUUAAUGAAUUGCUAUUCUAUGUGGUUGAUACAAAAGGGAAACAUGCAGCAAGAAACUAAAAUUGAAAUGGAUCUUCUGAGGAAAUGUAUUUGACAAAGCAUAAGGAGAAGCUAAAAUCUAAUAUAACGACAAUCACAGCAAAUCAACAAUCAAGGAUAAUAGGCAAAUUGUGGAAUAUUUUCUUCAGAAACGUGUUUUGCUGAUAUAUUUUUGUUCCAGAAUAAUUCAACAAAAAAUAUACUUAUAGCAAAGACUAUUGAAAAAGUGUAUGUCAAAAUGACCCCAUAAAUAUUAGAAAA
Molecule: long non-coding RNA, 338 nt
Organism: Ctenocephalides felis (cat flea)
Lineage: Eukaryota; Metazoa; Arthropoda; Insecta; Siphonaptera; Pulicidae
Exons: 3
Source: RefSeq, a predicted model, not a curated record